This 878-nucleotide long non-coding RNA is filed under the name Neodiprion lecontei (redheaded pine sawfly). RNAcentral describes it as "uncharacterized LOC124293392". The record is from RNAcentral. Lineage: Eukaryota; Metazoa; Arthropoda; Insecta; Hymenoptera; Diprionidae.
CUGCGUGUCGAAUUGUAUCCCAUAUCGAAACGAACAAUUCUUUUAUUGUCAUAUUAUACCCGAUUAUAGUAGAUAAUCUAGUAUGUUUCCUAGCAAAUUAUAAAAUUUAUAGUUUGCAUCACGUAAUAAUCAUAAAUUAAUCAGGUAUAUCAAUGUCGUACAUGGACCGUAUAUACAUUUACACUUUUUGGUCUCUGCAUCAUUAUUACAUAUGAUCGAUUUUUAUUCAUGAUCUAUGUAUACAUUCUUCUCUCGGGUACCUAUACUUUAAUUAAAUCACUGUUUUGCUACGAAUUUUGAAUGUUAUUAGUUCUCAUUAUUAAUUUCUUGUAUCGCCGACAAGUCGGUAAGUACACUCAGGCCAAGUACUGGCUUGGGCCUACCAUUGCGAAGACUGUUUUACUCGGAAGGUGAAUGCAGCCAGCAUCUUGUCGAAAUCGGGAACUCUGUGAUGUUCUACGAUAAGUUCUCAAUUCUACCAUUGGAUUAUCUCACGGAGAAAUUUACGGAUGUCACAUCUGAGCCCAUGAGGGCAACUGUCUUUAUAUUCUUCAUCCGAUACAGGUGCUUUUUUCCUCGUAUCUUCUCUCCUGUUGAUCCCACGCUCCUUUCGCUGCGUUUUUUGAGUUCCUGAGGGUCCGAUUGGUCAGGUACAACCCGAGGUGGUUAUCGGUGGUUGUUCGAGGUGGUUGGCGAUUGUUGGAGGUGGUCGGAGGUGGACGAGCAGGAGGACGAACGGAACUGAGUCAAAGUCCUGUUGACAUAAAAGCAGCUAUUCGAUAGAAAUUAUAGUUUAUAGUUUACACAGCCCAUUGCAUGAUAUUUCAUUAUAAAUACGUAUGUUUCAAUGUAUUUAGGAAUAAUUUAUCAAAUAUACA